AGCGAGAGAGAGCUUGCUUUCUCGAGCGAGUGGCGAACGGGUGAGUAACGCGUGAGGAACCUGCCUCAAAGAGGGGGACAACAGUUGGAAACGACUGCUAAUACCGCAUAAGCCCACGGUGCCGCAUGGCACAGAGGGAAAAGGAGCAAUCCGCUUUGAGAUGGCCUCGCGUCCGAUUAGCUAGUUGGUGAGGUAACGGCCCACCAAGGCAACGAUCGGUAGCCGGACUGAGAGGUUGAACGGCCACAUUGGGACUGAGACACGGCCCAGACUCCUACGGGAGGCAGCAGUGGGGAAUAUUGCACAAUGGGGGAAACCCUGAUGCAGCGACGCCGCGUGGAGGAAGAAGGUCUUCGGAUUGUAAACUCCUGUUGUUGGGGAAGAUAAUGACGGUACCCAACAAGGAAGUGACGGCUAACUACGUGCCAGCAGCCGCGGUAAAACGUAGGUCACAAGCGUUGUCCGGAAUUACUGGGUGUAAAGGGAGCGCAGGCGGGAAGACAAGUUGGAAGUGAAAUCUAUGGGCUCAACCCAUAAACUGCUUUCAAAACUGUUUUUCUUGAGUAGUGCAGAGGUAGGCGGAAUUCCCGGUGUAGCGGUGGAAUGCGUAGAUAUCGGGAGGAACACCAGUGGCGAAGGCG
This 641-nucleotide ribosomal RNA is filed under the name uncultured Lachnospiraceae bacterium. RNAcentral describes it as "bacterial SSU rRNA". It matches the Rfam family "Bacterial small subunit ribosomal RNA", at positions 65 to 723 of the family's 1533-position model. The record is from RNAcentral. Lineage: Bacteria; Bacillati; Bacillota; Clostridia; Lachnospirales; Lachnospiraceae.